Molecule: ribosomal RNA, 418 nt
Filed under: uncultured bacterium
Lineage: Bacteria
Description: bacterial SSU rRNA
Rfam family: Bacterial small subunit ribosomal RNA
Source: RNAcentral
UGGGGAAUAUUGCACAAUGGGGGAAACCCUGAUGCAGCAACGCCGCGUGAAGGAAGACGGUUUUCGGAUUGUAAACUUCUUUUCUUAGUGAAGAAACAAAUGACGGUAGCUAAGGAAUAAGCAUCGGCUAACUACGUGCCAGCAGCCGCGGUAAUACGUAGGAUGCGAGCGUUAUCCGGAUUUACUGGGUGUAAAGGGAGCGCAGGCGGGACUGCAAGUUGGAUGUGAAAUACCGCCGCUUAACUGCGGAGCUGCAUCCAAAACUGUAGUUCUUGAGUGGAGUAGAGGCAAGCGGAAUUCCGAGUGUAGCGGUGAAAUGCGUAGAUAUUCGGAGGAACACCAGUGGCGAAGGCGGCUUGCUGGGCUCUAACUGACGCUGAGGCUCGAAAGUGUGGGGAGCAAACAGGAUUAGAUACCC